This 253-nucleotide ribosomal RNA is filed under the name uncultured bacterium. Its description in RNAcentral is "partial 16S ribosomal RNA". It matches the Rfam family "Bacterial small subunit ribosomal RNA", at positions 524 to 776 of the family's 1533-position model. The record is from RNAcentral.
UACGGAGGGGACUAGUGUUGUUCGGAAUUACUGGGCGUAAAGCGCACGUAGGCGGAUUUGUAAGUCAGGGGUGAAAUCCCGAGGCUCAACCUCGGAACUGCCUUUGAUACUGCAAAUCUCGAGUCCGGAAGAGGUGAGUGGAAUUCCUAGUGUAGAGGUGAAAUUCGUAGAUAUUAGGAAGAACACCAGUGGCGAAGGCGGCUCACUGGUCCGGUACUGACGCUGAGGUGCGAAAGCGUGGGGAGCAAACAGG